CCUUUGUACACACCGCCCGUCGCUACUACCGAUUGAAUGGCUUAGUGAGGUCUCCGGAUCGGCUUUGGGGAUCCGGCAACGGAACCCCGUCGCUGAGAAGUUGAUCAAACUUGGUCAUUUAGAGG
Molecule: ribosomal RNA, 125 nt
Filed under: Boletaceae sp.
Lineage: Eukaryota; Fungi; Basidiomycota; Agaricomycetes; Boletales; Boletaceae
Description: partial small subunit ribosomal RNA
Rfam family: Eukaryotic small subunit ribosomal RNA
Source: RNAcentral